Molecule: unclassified non-coding RNA, 404 nt
Filed under: fungal sp.
Lineage: Eukaryota; Fungi
Description: partial internal transcribed spacer region
Rfam family: Eukaryotic small subunit ribosomal RNA (bases 1-46)
Source: RNAcentral
AAGUCGUAACAAGGUCUCCGUAGGUGAACCUGCGGAGGGAUCAUUAACACGUAUCCAAUACACGUACAAUAUAACCCCCAACUGUGAAUUUAUACCUAUUUGAAAGGCGGGUGCUAGCCGCGGGUGAUAUAACUAUGCUAGCGCUCUAUUCGUUGUUCAGUAAGAGCUACCGACAGACAAGAUAGCGUACCAAAGGUCACCCUGGUUGCAUAUGCCACUUUGGCGUGGUCAUUCAUUGAGACCGAUAAUCCCUUAAACAAGGAACUCUUCUCGGUGGAAAGCAUCUAAUCCAUAGCUGUGCAACCUUACACACAAACCCCACUAUACCAAAUAUUACUGAAAGGUUUGCUUGCAAACUGAUACGAAAUAACGAACAACUCUUAGCAAUGGAUAUCUUGGUUCUC